This 640-nucleotide ribosomal RNA is filed under the name uncultured bacterium. RNAcentral describes it as "bacterial SSU rRNA". It matches the Rfam family "Bacterial small subunit ribosomal RNA", at positions 892 to 1531 of the family's 1533-position model. The record is from RNAcentral.
GGCUUAAACUCAAAGGAAUUGACGGGGACCCGCACAAGCGGUGGAUGAUGUGGAUUAAUUCGAUGCAACGCGAAAAACCUUACCUACCCUUGACAUGCCAGGAACUUGCCAGAGAUGGCUUGGUGCCCGAAAGGGAGCCUGGACACAGGUGCUGCAUGGCUGUCGUCAGCUCGUGUCGUGAGAUGUUGGGUUAAGUCCCGCAACGAGCGCAACCCUUGUCAUUAGUUGCCAUCAUUCAGUUGGGCACUCUAAUGAGACUGCCGGUGACAAACCGGAGGAAGGUGGGGAUGACGUCAAGUCCUCAUGGCCCUUAUGGGUAGGGCUUCACACGUCAUACAAUGGUCGGUCCAGAGGGUUGCCAAGCCGCGAGGUGGAGCCAAUCCCAGAAAGCCGAUCGUAGUCCGGAUUGGAGGCUGCAACUCGCCUCCAUGAAGUCGGAAUCGCUAGUAAUCGCGGAUCAGCAUGUCGCGGUGAAUACGUUCCCGGGUCUUGUACACACCGCCCGUCACACCAUGGGAGCGGGUUCCGCCAGAAGUAGGUAGCCUAACCGCAAGGAGGGCGCUUACCACGGCGGGGUUCGUGACUGGGGUGAAGUCGUAACAAGGUAGCCGUAGGGGAACCUGCGGCUGGAUCACCUCCU